GAGUAGAAAACUGAAGCAGAGAAAAGAUGGUUUCAUUUUUGUUCCGCUCCAAUGACAGCUUGUAGACCUAAUGUCAAGGCUUCCCUGGUUCAUCUUCUUUCUCUUGGGGCCUUUUAGCCUUCAUGUAUUUUCUUAAUACUGGUCUUUUUCUGUAGUAUAUAACCAUUGUCCUGGUUAUAUCCGUUUUCCUUCUAGGGUUCCUAAGUCUUGGUGCAUUGAGGAUCUUUUGGGAAGCUUUUGGCUUAUAGCCCUGACUUGAAAGAACAGUGUUUAAAUAUUGCUCUCUCAAAAAACAGGUGCCAGGGUGGGUCAUCGCUCCUUGAUGAGAUACUACAAACAACGAUUCGGCUUGCCAAGAGCUGUGACAGUUGCUAGAAAUCAAAAGGCUGUGGGCAGGGUCCUCCAGCAGUACCGAGCCCUGGGGUGGACGGGCAGCACAGGAGCAGCUCUCAUGCGUGAACGGGACAUGCAGUAUGUACAGAGGAUGAAGUCGAAAUGGAUGCUGAAGACCGGGAUGAAGAACAAUGCCACCAAGCAGAUGCACUUUAGGGCCCAAGUG
This 559-nucleotide long non-coding RNA is filed under the name Rattus norvegicus (Norway rat). Its description in RNAcentral is "long non-coding RNA NONRATT015113". The record is from RNAcentral. Lineage: Eukaryota; Metazoa; Chordata; Mammalia; Rodentia; Muridae.